This 72-nucleotide transfer RNA is filed under the name Hypoxylon fuscum. RNAcentral's name for it is "tRNA-Met". It matches the Rfam family "tRNA". Rfam says of the family: Transfer RNA (tRNA) molecules are approximately 80 nucleotides in length. Lineage: Eukaryota; Fungi; Ascomycota; Sordariomycetes; Xylariales; Hypoxylaceae. The record is from RNAcentral.
AGCUUCAUGGCGCAGUGGAAGCGCGCCGGGCUCAUAACCCGGAGGUCCUCCGAUCGAAACGGAGUGGAGCUA